RNAcentral lists this ribosomal RNA (375 nucleotides) under uncultured organism. Its description in RNAcentral is "partial 16S ribosomal RNA". It matches the Rfam family "Bacterial small subunit ribosomal RNA", at positions 527 to 896 of the family's 1533-position model. The record is from RNAcentral.
GUAGGUGGCAAGCGUUGUCCGGAAUUAUUGGGCGUAAAGCGCGCGCAGGCGGUCCUUUAAGUCUGAUGUGAAAGCCCACGGCUCAACCGUGGAGGGUCAUUGGAAACUGGGGGACUUGAGUACAGAAGAGGAAAGCGGAAUUCCAAGUGUAGCGGUGAAAUGCGUAGAGAUUUGGAGGAACACCAGUGGCGAAGGCGGCUUUCUGGUCUGUAACUGACGCCGAGGCGCGAAAGCGUGGGGAGCAAACAGGAUUAGAUACCCUGGUAGUCCACGCCGUAAACGAUGAGUGCUAAGUGUUAGGGGGUUUCCCGCCCCCCUUAGUGCUGCAGCUAACGCAUUAAGCACUCCGCCUGGGGGAGUACGGCCGCAAGGCUG